GACGAACGCUGGCGGCGUGCCUAAUACAUGCAAGUAGAACGCUGAAGGAGGAGCUUGCUUCUCUGGAUGAGUUGCGAACGGGUGAGUAACGCGUAGGUAACCUGCCUGGUAGCGGGGGAUAACUAUUGGAAACGAUAGCUAAUACCGCAUAAUAGUAGAUGUUGCAUGACAUUUGCUUAAAAGGUGCAAUUGCAUCACUACCAGAUGGACCUGCGUUGUAUUAGCUAGUUGGUGGGGUAACGGCUCACCAAGGCGACGAUACAUAGCCGACCUGAGAGGGUGAUCGGCCACACUGGGACUGGGACACGGCCCAGGCUCCUACGGGAGGCAGCAGUAGGGAAACUUCGGCAAUGGACGGAAGUCUGACCGAGCAAAGCCGAGGGAGUGAAGAAGGGUUUCGGGUCGGAAAGCUCUGUUGUAAGAGAAGAAAGAGUGUGAGAGUGGAAAGUUCACACUGUGACGGUAGCUUACCAGAAAGAGACGGCUAACUACGUG
RNAcentral lists this ribosomal RNA (495 nucleotides) under uncultured bacterium. Its description in RNAcentral is "partial 16S ribosomal RNA". It matches the Rfam family "Bacterial small subunit ribosomal RNA", at positions 28 to 507 of the family's 1533-position model. The record is from RNAcentral.